RNAcentral lists this long non-coding RNA (1550 nucleotides) under Apis florea (little honeybee). RNAcentral's name for it is "uncharacterized LOC116414545". The record is from RNAcentral. Lineage: Eukaryota; Metazoa; Arthropoda; Insecta; Hymenoptera; Apidae.
GUCAAUAUAUAUAUAUAUAUAUAUUGCAUUAUAUACUAAACUAUUAAAAUACUAGUAUAAAUAUCUCUUGACAUACAAUAUAUAUAUUUUUUCAUAUAUAUAUAUAUAUAUAUGUAUUUAUUCAUUUAUAUAUAUAUAUAUAUAUAUAGUGUAGCGUGAUUUGGCGGAGCCGAAGAAAUGAUUUCGAGUUUAUCGAUUUUUUUUUAUCCUUCCUUUUUCUUUUCAUUCUUUUUUUGUUUUAAACGAUAUAUGUAUAUAUAUGUAUGUAUGUAUAUAUAUAUAUGUAUACGCAUUUCAACGUCUCCGCGAGGUUCACUUCCUCUCUCCUUAUCCCGCACUUUUUCACCCCUUUCAAUCUUCAAUCUCUCUCUCUCGCUCUCUCUCUUUCUCUCUCUUUCUCACACAGAUACGCUUUCUCUCCCUCACAUAUUAUUCAUUUUCUCUUUUUCUUUCUUUUUUUCUUUUCUUUUCUUGUUUAUACAUUUAUUGCUAUUGGAUUCAUUGCAUAGUAGUAGUUUCCCCCGUGUGAACUGAUAUUACUCACUUGUUACUACACUCCUUAUUUUUCCUCCAUAUUUAUUUUUUCCCCCCUCUUUUCUCGCUUCAUCCUUCCUUCUUGCUCCGUUUAUCGUUCCACUUGGUUCGUACGCGUUGAGCGUUUGUUGCCGAAGAGAAGACGUCGAGCGAUUUUCGUGUUCGAUUUUGUGGUUCGUUUUUUCUUCUUUCUUUUCUUUUUUUUUUUUUUUUUUUGUUUCGACCCUUCGUACAGUGACGACGAGAGGAAGCAGUACUACUUUCGAAAAAAGUAGUUCGUCCCCCAAAAAAACGGAGGAAAGCACGAAGAAGCACCGAAGGAACGAAAUUGCAAAAUUCUUCUUUCCUGUCCUUUUUCUUUUUCUUUUUUUUUUUCUUUUUUAUAUUUUUAUUUUUGUCCUCCGUUACUUGGAGGCAGGACAAUUCCUCUACUGUACCGUGUAACUUCUCCCCCGUGGAGGAACGAGUAUUGUUUUAUUUCAUUGUCCAAGGAAUGACAAACGUUUGCGGGAAUAAUUUCUCGCAAGAAGAGAGCGGUUGAACGAAACGUAAUGUAAAGAAACGAGAGAGAGUGGCAAGGGUUGCUACCGGAUUGAGCAAGGAAUUAUCGAUCGGUCUAUGUUUAUAACUCUCAUCAAAUUUCGAUGAGCGUUGAGCACCAAACGUAGAUUAAAGCUAUCUUAACUAUUUAACCUCUUGUCCUUUUAUUUGAAGAAAGACCUACUCCUCAACCACUAAUCCGCUCGCAUCGGUAUAACCGGUUAUCAAUUUAAUAAUCUGCUCUUUGAUAAGUCCGUUCGAAACUUAUCGAGGUAUACGUUAUAUAAAGUAUAUAUUACAACUGUAUCCUUUGAUACACUUCGUAUUAAUUUAUCUCUUUAUGCGUAGCGUUAGAAGCGGUCACGAGUUAAUGAAAUCCUCGAGUGAAACGAGGAGCCUUUUUCUCCGUAACAAUAAUUUAUCGAUCGAUCGAUCGAUAAAUUGGAAAUUGGCGCGAAAAAAAAAAAGAGAAGAAA